AUGGUGCGGCUGCCAGCACCAUCAUCGAGCACCCAAGCACCCGCGCCUGCUCCUGCGCCUGUUGCGGUACCCACGGGUUUGACGCCGAAGCCGGCGACGGCAUCCACAGAAGGUAGAAAAUACAGUGUCCCUGGCAUUGUUCUUAUUAUUCUGCUGCCUACUGUAGCUGCCAUAAACCUUGUGGCUUGCUUCUUUUUCUGGAGAAGGAAGCGGCCACUAGCAAAAACAAAACACUCAGAUCCCAGUUAUUUCGCCGACGAGGAGGACAAUGAAAGUGUAGACUCGAUGUUGAUUGACAUUUCAACCUUGCGAGUUGCAACCGGGAAUUUUGCAGAUAGCAACAAGCUUGGUGAUGGCGGAUUUGGUGCCGUGUACAAGGGUAUUCUUCCAGACGGUGACGAAAUAGCAGUGAAGAGACUAUCAAAGAGCUCAACACAAGGAGUAGAGGAGCUCAAAAAUGAACUCUCUUUGGUUGCAAAGCUUAGGCACAAGAACCUUGUCACACUUCUUGGCGUCUGCUUGGAGCAACAAGAGAGGCUGCUUGUCUACGAGUUCGUUCCUAACCGAAGCCUCGACCUCUUCCUUUUCGAUGCUGAGAAACAUGUAGAACUGGAUUGGGAAAAGAGGUACAAGAUCAUUAAUGGAAUUGCUCGAGGAUUGCAAUACCUCCAUGAAGACUCCCAGCUCAGAGUGGUCCACCGUGAUCUCAAAACUAGCAACAUAUUGCUUGACAAAGAUAUGAAUCCGAAGAUAUCAGAUUUUGGAAUUGCGAGACUAUUUGGGCAAGACCAGACCCAUGGAAUAACGAAACAUGUCGUCGGCACAUACGGAUAUAUGGCACCGGAGUACGUGAUGUGUGGGAACUACUCUGUGAAAUCUGAUUCAUCCAGCUUCGGCGUCAUGGUUCUUGAGAUUGUGACGGGAAGGAAGAACAAUGACUACAAUAAUUCUGAGAAAUCUCAAGAUCUUCUGAAUGUGAUGUGGGACCGUUGGAUGGCCACAACAGUGUUGGACAUGAUGGAUCCGUGCAUGAACACCAGCUUCUCAGAGAGCUGCGUGCUAAGAUGCAUCCAUAUAGGGCUUCUGUGUGUUCAAGAAAACCCGGCUGAUCGACCACUUAUGUCGUCUGUGGUCAUGAUGCUCGGAAGCGAUACCGUGCCUCUCUCUGCCCCAUCUAAGCCGGCGUUCUACACCAAGGAGGCUAGCGACAACUUGGGCAUCGAGUCACAUCACCGUCGGCUCCAUCUUCCUGCCGGAGACACCCAACAGCCUCGUCCGACAAGGUAA
RNAcentral lists this ribosomal RNA (1287 nucleotides) under Triticum aestivum (bread wheat). RNAcentral's name for it is "partial small subunit ribosomal RNA". Lineage: Eukaryota; Viridiplantae; Streptophyta; Magnoliopsida; Poales; Poaceae. The record is from RNAcentral.